GGAUGAACGCUAGCGGCAGGCUUAACACAUGCAAGUCGAGGGGCAGCGAGGGUAGCAAUACCUGUCGGCGACCGGCAAACGGGUGCGGAACACGUACGCAAUCUACCCUUACCCGGGGCAUAGCCCGGAGAAAUCCGGAUUAACUCCCCAUAACAUAUUUGAGUGGCAUCAUUUGGAUAUUAAAAAUUUAUUGGGUAAGGAUGAGCGUGCGUCCCAUUAGCUAGUUGGUAGGGUAACGACCUACCAAGGCGACGAUGGGUAGCUGGUGUGAGAGCACGACCAGCCACACGGGCACUGAGACACGGGCCCGACUCCUACGGGAGGCAGCAGUGAGGAAUAUUGGUCAAUGGGCGCAAGCCUGAACCAGCCAUGCCGCGUGAAGGAUGAAGGCCUUCUGGGUUGUAAACUUCUUUUAUGAGGGAAGAAAAGCAUUGUUUCUACGAUGUCCGACGGUACCUUAGGAAUAAGCACCGGCUAACUCCGUGCCAGCAGCCGCGGUAAUACGGAGGGUGCAAGCGUUAUCCGGAUUUACUGGGUUUAAAGGGUGUGUAGGCGGGCUAUUAAGUCAGUGGUGAAAUCUCCGGGCUCAACCCGGAAACUGCCAUUGAUACUAUUAGUCUUGAAUUUUGUUGAGGUAGGCGGAAUAAGUCAUGUAGCGGUGAAAUGCAUAGAUAUGACUUAGAACACCGAUUGCGAAGGCAGCUUGCUAAACAAAUAUUGACGCUGAGGCACGAAAGCGUGGGGAUCAAACAGGAUCAGAUACCCUGGUAGUCCACGCACUAAACGAUGAUUACUCGACAUACGCGAUACACAGUGUGUGUCUGAGCGAAAGCAUUAAGUAAUCCACCUGGGAAGUACGACCGCAAGGUUGAAACUCAAAGGAAUUGACGG
Molecule: ribosomal RNA, 891 nt
Filed under: uncultured bacterium
Lineage: Bacteria
Description: bacterial SSU rRNA
Rfam family: Bacterial small subunit ribosomal RNA
Source: RNAcentral